Molecule: ribosomal RNA, 468 nt
Filed under: uncultured bacterium
Lineage: Bacteria
Description: partial 16S ribosomal RNA
Rfam family: Bacterial small subunit ribosomal RNA
Source: RNAcentral
GACGAACGCUGGCGGCGUGCCUAACACAUGCAAGUCGAACGGAAAGUCCCUGCUUUUGUGGGGUGCUCGAGUGGCGAACUGGUGAGUAACCCGUGAGUUACCUGCCCUUUACCUUGGGAUAACUUCAGGAAACUGGGUCUAAUACCGGAUAUGAUCUCCUGCUGCUUGGUGGGCCUUGGAAAGUUUCGGCGGUUGGGGAUGGACUGGCGGCUUAUCAGCUUGUUGGUGGGGUAGUGGAUUACCAAGGCUUUGACGGGUAGCCGGCCUGAGAGGGUGACCGGCCACAUUGGGACUGAGAUACGGCCCAGACUAGUACGGGAGGCAGCGGUGGAGAAUAUUGCACAAUGGGCGGAAGGCGGAUGCAGCAACGCCGCGUGGGGGAUGACGGCCUUCGGGUUGUAAACCGCUUUCGCCUGUGACGAAGCGUGAGUGACGGUAAUGGGUAAAGAAGCACCGGCUAACUACGUG